RNAcentral lists this microRNA (21 nucleotides) under Populus trichocarpa (black cottonwood). RNAcentral's name for it is "ptc-miR6470". Lineage: Eukaryota; Viridiplantae; Streptophyta; Magnoliopsida; Malpighiales; Salicaceae. The record is from miRBase by way of RNAcentral.
CUCUGAUAUCAUAUUAAAAAA